RNAcentral lists this ribosomal RNA (432 nucleotides) under uncultured bacterium. RNAcentral describes it as "bacterial SSU rRNA". It matches the Rfam family "Bacterial small subunit ribosomal RNA", at positions 28 to 507 of the family's 1533-position model. The record is from RNAcentral.
GAUGAACGCUGGCGGCGUGCUUCCCUUUUGCAAGUCAAACGAACCUUCGGGUUAGUGGCGGACGGGUGAGUAACGCGUGAAAAUCUGCCCUCAGGAGGGGGAUAACGGCUGGAAACGGCCGCUAAUACCCCAUAUGCCGAGAGGUGAAAUGAAUUUCGCCUGAGGAUGAGCUCGCGUCUGAUUAGCUAGUUGGGGGGGUAAAGGCCUACCAAGGCAUCGAUCAGUAGCUGGUCUGAGAGGAUGAUCAGCCACACUGGGACUGAAACACGGCCCAAACUCCUACGGGAGGCAGCAGUGGGGAAUUUUCCGCAAUGGGCGCAAGCCUGACGGAGCAACGCCGCGUGAGGGAUGAAGGCCUCUGGGCUGUAAACCUCUUUUAUCAAGGAAAAAAAUCUGACGGUACUUGAUGAAUAAGCCACGGCUAAUUCCGUG